Molecule: unclassified non-coding RNA, 209 nt
Filed under: Hevea brasiliensis (rubber tree)
Lineage: Eukaryota; Viridiplantae; Streptophyta; Magnoliopsida; Malpighiales; Euphorbiaceae
Source: RNAcentral
UCGCCAUAGACUAUUAGACGUAGAUGACAGAUACUUGUGGUGUCGUAAGGCAUACCUUAAAACCCCGGAACACUUGUGCUUACUUUGUUCUUAGAGUAAGGGUACAACACCAAAAUAGGAUAACCUAACAAAGUCCUAGUUAAGAUGUCACCAGACAUAGAAAUGAGGCACACUUUAGGUGUUUGCAUCAAACCUAGGUAGAGAUUGGG